AGAGCUCCGAUUUUUCUCAGCGCCCUUUCCAGCCUUAGGUAUUUCUCGAGCUACCCCCAUUUCUGCACCUUUGCACCUCUCCAAAUCGCUUAGGUUAGUCUCGGAACUCCUUCCUCUUUUUGUUCUUCCUUUUGCCGUUCGAUCUUUCUUCCUCUUGCUCUGCACGUCAGUCCCCCGAGACCUUGUCCGCGAUUUUCCUCAACUUUUAGGGAUUUCUCCUCUGUAAGUGGU
Molecule: long non-coding RNA, 231 nt
Filed under: Elaeis guineensis (African oil palm)
Lineage: Eukaryota; Viridiplantae; Streptophyta; Magnoliopsida; Arecales; Arecaceae
Description: long non-coding RNA (EGUI_LNC073470)
Source: RNAcentral